Molecule: long non-coding RNA, 2677 nt
Organism: Myzus persicae (green peach aphid)
Lineage: Eukaryota; Metazoa; Arthropoda; Insecta; Hemiptera; Aphididae
Exons: 2
Source: RefSeq, a predicted model, not a curated record
AUAUGUACAAACAAAAUAUUCACCGAGUUGAAAUGUAAUGUGAAAUAAUUAAAAAAUAAAAUGUGAAUAAAACAAUUAAGUAAGAACCGUGUAUACGGUUUAUACAGAUAUUAAAAUGUACCUAUUUUAUAUAAAUUAUUAUUAAUAUAAAAUACACAAAAUAUAUUAUACAUAAAUGUUUAUAGUAAAAUGAAUAAAACAAAAAUAAAACAAAGAGAAAGUCAAAUUUGUGGCUGAUAAUACGAAAAAAAACCUCACAUUUUAAUUAAUACUAAAGAGUCGAAAUGCACCGAGUCCAAUCAGCUGGAAGAGUUAGAUCUGGCACAGUAUGAUAUUCAAAAGACAAUUUUCUAUUUUAUACCAAACGUAAAAACAUAAAACAUGCCUUGAUCCAAACUUCCAACUGAUUGGACAAACGGUUGUUAACCCACAUGAAGUGUUGUUGCAACAAACGAACGAGAAACAAACGGAAACAAUUUACACACUAUAAAAAAAAACUAACACUUUCACUUGAAAAUAAGACUCGUUCUAAAAGCAAAAUAUCUAAACGAAAAAAAAAGUACUGAACACUAUGAUUGAUGUGUGACGAUCCGACACCAAAUGCGCUAUGAAUCUACAACCGACCGGCGUGAGGUUUUUAUACCGCGAGUGUGCCGUUUCAAGAGCCAAGCUCAAACAAGAGAUAACGUACCAACAAAUAAAAAACACACACACCGGUUGACUAAGAGCUAUAUUUAAGUAAGUGCCUGAGCGUUAUCUUUCGAGUGGUUGCGUUUAGAUACAGAGGUAAGGCUAGGGUAGACGAAAGCGUAUAACGAAAUGUAUAGAGCCGUAUAAUAAAAAAUAUAAAACCUUAUACUAAAUAACAGAUAGCGAUUGUAAUACUUUGAUGGAGAAUAAACAAAUUAUGACGAAAUUUAGGUAUAACACUCGACAAAAGAACAAAUAAUAUAAUAUAAUAAUAUUACACGAUCAGAACUAUGGCAAGUCGUAAACGACGAGACGACGAUACACAGAAAUUCCACGAACACGAAAAGAUUCGGCUACGAUCACGUUUCACGAGUACUUAGCGCGUGCCUUAAACGAAACACACUCGUUUUGCAUACACAUCGCAUAAAUUAAUCGUGUAAUAAUAAUAUGAUCGUAUUGAUACGUAUCUUACUUAGUACGUUCUAUUACUAUAUGCGUAUACUACUAUAUGCUGUGUAUUUGUGCACAUUCGAAUUGCAUGUUUGAAUUGGUCUGAAAGACACUAUGGCCACAGAUAGAUCAUGAACCAUGAUCAAAACGAUGGCGACAACGAACUAUUUAAAACAAAAAUAUUAACAGUAAUAGAAGAAAAUAAUUAAGUGCAUUCAACUAAUAUUAUAACAUAUCACUGUGGUUUGUGCAUACGUCAAUAUUUUAAAUUUGAUAUAAUAUAUAUUAAUGUCCAAUGUUUAUACAAAUUGAGUACAAUCUCGAGAUUAGUUUUAAAGUUAAUUAAUUUUUUUUCAACAAACACAAAACAAAAUUACUUGUGUAUGCAUGUAAACUUCAAAAAAGAAAAAAAUAUAGGAAAUGGUGUUGAUUCUUAUGUUUAUGAUUUGUGCGAAAUAAUACAAAUACAUCUCAGAUGGAGUUAUAUGAACUCGAAAUACAAAUCAUAACAAUGAUAAUAUUAUUAACAUUGAUCUCACUCAAAUCCAAAACAUUAAUUUUUUUCUAAUAUCUAAUUCUAUACAUAAACUAAAUUUUUCUUGACAUUAAAUUUCAUUGUUACCUAAUAUAUUUGUCUACAAUAUAACUAACUCGAGUGAUUCUUAAAGAUUUAAAUUUUAUAUUUUCAUUAUUCACUAACCAAUCAUCAAUAAAUAUUUUUAUACAUCAAAUUAUAUAAACUUUUUUUAUGUUAACUAUUUAUUAUUGAUUAUUUAUGUUCAAAUUUAAAAAUGGACCAUCUACUAAACAACAAGGUUUGAUUACAGUAUGAACUACUUAUGAGAAACCUUGAUUUUAAAUUUUCAAUCCUUAGCAAUACAAUUUGAAAAAUUUGUAAAGUUUGAUAAGUAAAGUCAAAAUUUGCAUUUUGAAUUUAUAUAAAAAAAAUUAUGUCUAUGCAUCUUCAAGGUCUUUCCCCAAUUGGAAAAAAGAAACUGAAAUACAAAUAUGUUGCCACAGUAGUUAAUAUAAUUAGCCAAAGUGAAUAUGAAGUGCAAUGUUUUGAAGCAAAUAAAGAGGAAAACACUGAGUUUGUACCUAUUGAAAAUGGUGUAUCAAUAGUUGACUUCACCAACAUAUUGUACAAAUUACCAUCUCCAGAACUUCGUCUUAAAAAUAGACAUCUUAUUUCAGUGUUUCCAGGUAUAGUUGAUGUGUUUGAAAAAAGUAGAUAUUAAGACUUAAUAUAUAUUCCUACACUCUAAUCAAAAGUCAACAAUGUGAUUUACUUAUUACCUAUUUAAUUAUUACCAGAAAGUUAUUUACUUUAAUUUUUAUUAGGUACAAUGUUUCAUUAAGUUUUAUUUAUAUUUUUAUUAUAACCCAACUAGGUUUUUGUUUUAUUAUAUCUUAGGCAGGGAUCAAUUUUUAUUUAAAAGACUGUUAUAUUAUGUUUUCCUACAUUCUAACCUAUAACCAAAAAUCAACAAGUGUGAUUUAAUUAUUUCCAGAAAGUUAUUUACUUUAAUUUUUAUUA